AGCGGCGGACGGGUGAGUAACACGUGGGUAACCUGCCCAAGAGACUGGGAUAACACCUGGAAACAGAUGCUAAUACCGGAUAACAACACUAGACGCAUGUCUAGAGUUUGAAAGAUGGUUCUGCUAUCACUCUUGGAUGGACCUGCGGUGCAUUAGCUAGUUGGUAAGGUAACGGCUUACCAAGGCAAUGAUGCAUAGCCGAGUUGAGAGACUGAUCGGCCACAUUGGGACUGAGACACGGCCCAAACUCCUACGGGAGGCAGCAGUAGGGAAUCUUCCACAAUGGACGAAAGUCUGAUGGAGCAACGCCGCGUGAGUGAAGAAGGGUUUCGGCUCGUAAAGCUCUGUUGGUAGUGAAGAAAGAUAGAGGUAGUAACUGGCCUUUAUUUGACGGUAAUUACUUAGAAAGUCACGGCUAACUACGUGCCAGCAGCCGCGGUAAUACGUAGGUGGCAAGCGUUGUCCGGAUUUAUUGGGCGUAAAGCGAGUGCAGGCGGUUCAAUAAGUCUGAUGUGAAAGCCUUCGGCUCAACCGGAGAAUUGCAUCAGAAACUGUUGAACUUGAGUGCAGAAGAGGAGAGUGGAACUCCAUGUGUAGCGGUGGAAUGCGUAGAUAUAUGGAAGAACACCAGUGGCGAAGGCGGCUCUCUGGUCUGCAACUGACGCUGAGGCUCGAAAGCAUGGGUAGCGAACAGGAUUAGAUACCCUGGUAGUCCGUGCCGUAACGAUGAGUGCUAAGUGU
RNAcentral lists this ribosomal RNA (741 nucleotides) under uncultured bacterium. RNAcentral describes it as "bacterial SSU rRNA". It matches the Rfam family "Bacterial small subunit ribosomal RNA", at positions 94 to 823 of the family's 1533-position model. The record is from RNAcentral.